UGUUAAAGUCCCACUGAUCAGCCAAACCAGCAUUCCCCUCAAAGCCGUCGUCCUUAUCCCCAAUCCACACCGUCGGCGGCCCAUCCAACCCGUCCCCAUCUGAUCUCCCCGUCGGCGGCGGCCCCCACCGCUUCCUUCCCCUCGCCGUCGCGAUACUGAGCAGACACUAGCAGAAGUAGGUGCUCCGUAACCCGCCCCCCAACACCAAAGUGGCACUCAUCACGCCCACGCGAGGUGGUCGACGAAGAGCCGCAGAGGAGGGGGAGGUGCUGGGUGGGAUCCGGCGGACCGCUCAUGUCGAGCGGCGCGGACGGAUCGGAUCCCUGCACGGGCCUUGACCCGGGGACGAUCCCAGAGCUGCCGGCCCAUGAACCUCCUGUGCUGCAGGCUCCGUCGCCGGCGCCGCAGCAGGAGGUGGUGGUGGCAUCGCAGACCGAGGCGCCGUUGCCAGCUGUCACCAUCGUGAUCUCGCGGCCAGGCGAGGAUGUUCAGAUGCCCGAUGCAAAGGGUGGCUCCCCGGCAUGCUCCCCGCAGGCCGGUGACGGCAAGCCUAUGGCCACCUCGGUUUCGUUGACCGCUUCGGCGGCCGCGAAGGAAGCCGGGCUGGCAAGGUCCGACUCCGACAGCUUGGACGACUACGAGCAAUGCAGGAGCAACACUUGUACUCUUAAUAAGCCCAGGUUCCAGUUAAGGUACCUGUGGACCAAGUGGCUGUCCUUGUUUUGGAAGGAACAAUGUAGAAUGCAUUGGCCUUGAUGAGUUUGUCAACAGAAGACAGAAGAACCUCUGGUCGACCUUGGAUGCAGAUGUCGUGGUGAUCUUGCAAAAGCACAUCGCACAUGCAUUGAUUUUUGGUUUCGUACUAGAGGUUCAAACAAGUGUGAGAUAUGCCAGCAGGUUGCUGUCAAUAUCGCCCCUCCAGAAACGCAAUCAAGUACAAGUUAUUGGGUUUGGAGGGUUGAUUCGACUUAUGGAAGGGGACGAGGAGGACGAGAAAGGGGAUGGUUUAGCCCACUUUGGGUUGCAUUUGCAAUUCUGAUUGGUGGUCUCUUAUUGGAUGUGCUGAUAUCUGUUUCUCUCGGUGUUUCCGCACUUCCUGUCAAUAUAAUAAUUGGUGUUCUUAUAGUUCUCGGAUUGGGCACCGCCCUUCAUCUAGCUCUUGAGUGCUGUCACGAAUGGGGCUCAAGGAGGAACGUGGCCAAUAUUCCGAGGCUGGAGAACAUAGCGCCGACUGGGUACCACCCUGCAGUAGUAUAAUCAUUAUGGGACUUGUAAAUAGCGUAGGAACAUCUAAGCUCGUGCUGGCUUUUGGAUUAUUAUGUUCUCGCAACUAGCUUUAGCUCACACGUGUUGCUCGUUAAUGUCGAGCUCAAAUUCAAAGCUCGUUGAUUACAAUCCAGUUCAUACUCCCACUAGUCCAAUCCAAUGUAAAUGCAGAGUUACUGAUACUCGGUCAUCACGGGCUAGUGCUCAUGCCAAACUGCCAGCACCUUAAUUGGAUGGUCUGGCUACCCAUUCAGCAUGACAGGGCUAGGUUCCUUCUUCCCUCCUUGUACGGUUUACUCUGACAAGUCACUUGUUGUGUUUCAUCUUUAUCUGUGGCUUGUCGGUAUAGGCAUUUGUGAAGGCCAUUUGAGCUAGUGUUGUUUUUGUACAUUUAUGUAGAGUUGUGGAUAUAACAUUUUUAUAUGAAUUAAUCUGCUGAUACGUUUCGUGA
Zea mays is the source of this 1717-nucleotide RNA transcript. It is a transcript of the gene named E3 ubiquitin-protein ligase MARCHF9, with no coding region annotated. The record is from RefSeq and is a predicted model, not a curated record. Lineage: Eukaryota; Viridiplantae; Streptophyta; Magnoliopsida; Poales; Poaceae. The transcript has 7 exons.